This 502-nucleotide ribosomal RNA is filed under the name uncultured bacterium. RNAcentral's name for it is "partial 16S ribosomal RNA". It matches the Rfam family "Bacterial small subunit ribosomal RNA", at positions 30 to 523 of the family's 1533-position model. The record is from RNAcentral.
AUUGAACGCUGGCGGCAUGCCUUACACAUGCAAGUCGAACGGCAGCACGGGUGCUUGCACCUGGUGGCGAGUGGCGAACGGGUGAGUAAUAUAUCGGAACGUGCCCUAGAGUGGGGGAUAACGUAGCGAAAGUUACGCUAAUACCGCAUACGAUCUACGGAUGAAAGUGGGGGAUCGCAAGACCUCAUGCUCAUGGAGCGGCCGAUAUCUGAUUAGCUAGUUGGUGGGGUAAAAGCCUACCAAGGCGACGAUCAGUAGCUGGUCUGAGAGGACGACCAGCCACACUGGGACUGAGACACGGCCCAGACUCCUACGGGAGGCAGCAGUGGGGAAUUUUGGACAAUGGGGGCAACCCUGAUCCAGCAAUGCCGCGUGUGUGAAGAAGGCCUUCGGGUUGUAAAGCACUUUUGUCAGGAACGAAACGGUGGAGGCUAAUACCUUCUGCUAAUGACGGUACCUGAAGAAUAAGCACCGGCUAACUACGUGCCAGCCGCCGCAGUAA